CUACGGGCUGCUGCAGUGGGGAAUAUUGGGCAAUGGGCGCAAGCCUGACCCAGCAACGCCGCGUGAGGGAAGAAGGUUUUCGGAUUGUAAACCUCUGUCCUUGGGGACGAAGAAGUGACGGUACCCAAGGAGGAAGCUCCGGCUAACUACGUGCCAGCAGCCGCGGUAAUACGUAGGGAGCAAGCGUUGUCCGGAAUUACUGGGCGUAAAGGGUGCGUAGGCGGUAUAUUAAGUCAGGUGUGAAAUACUCGGGCUCAACCCGGGGGCUGCAUUUGAAACUGAUAUGCUUGAGUGUGAGAGAGGAAAGUGGAAUUCCUAGUGUAGCGGUGGAAUGCGUAGAUAUUAGGAGGAACACCAGUGGCGAAGGCGACUUUCUGGCUCAUAACUGACGCUGAGGCACGAAAGCGUGGGGAGCAAACAGGAUUAGAUACCCGCGUAGUC
RNAcentral lists this ribosomal RNA (441 nucleotides) under uncultured bacterium. Its description in RNAcentral is "partial 16S ribosomal RNA". It matches the Rfam family "Bacterial small subunit ribosomal RNA", at positions 339 to 795 of the family's 1533-position model. The record is from RNAcentral.